This 454-nucleotide ribosomal RNA is filed under the name uncultured bacterium. RNAcentral's name for it is "bacterial SSU rRNA". It matches the Rfam family "Bacterial small subunit ribosomal RNA", at positions 335 to 799 of the family's 1533-position model. The record is from RNAcentral.
ACUCCUACGGGAGGCAGCAGUGGGGAAUCUUGGACAAUGGGCGGCAAGCCUGAUCCAGCCAUGCCGCGUGAGUGAUGAAGGCCCCUAGGGUCGUAAAGCUCUUUCGCCUGUGAUGAUAAUGACAGUAGCAGGUAAAGAAACCCCGGCUAACUCCGUGCCAGCAGCCGCGGUAAUACGGAGGGGGUUUAGCGUUGUUUCGGAAUUUACUGGGCGUAAAGCGCACGUAGGCGGAUUAGUCAGUCAGAGGUGAAAUCCCAGGGCUCAACCCUGGAACUGCCUUUUGAUACUGCUAGUCUUGAGUUCGAGAGAGGUGAGUGGAAUUCCGAGUGUAGAGGUGAAAUUCGUAGAUAUUCGGAGGAACACCAGUGGCGAAGGCGGCUCACUGGCUCGAUACUGACGCUGAGGUGCGAAAGUGUGGGGAGCAAACAGGAUUAGAUACCCUGGUAGCGACUGA